This 620-nucleotide ribosomal RNA is filed under the name Bacillus sp. (in: firmicutes). RNAcentral's name for it is "bacterial SSU rRNA". It matches the Rfam family "Bacterial small subunit ribosomal RNA", at positions 134 to 739 of the family's 1533-position model. Lineage: Bacteria; Bacillati; Bacillota; Bacilli; Caryophanales; Bacillaceae. The record is from RNAcentral.
AAGACUGGGAUAACUCCGGGAAACCGGGGCUAAUACCGGAUAAUAUUUUGAACUGCAUGGUUCGAAAUUGAAAGGCGGCUUCGGCUGUCACUUAUGGAUGGACCCGCGUCGCAUUAGCUAGUUGGUGAGGUAACGGCUCACCAAGGCAACGAUGCGUAGCCGACCUGAGAGGGUGAUCGGCCACACUGGGACUGAGACACGGCCCAGACUCCUACGGGAGGCAGCAGUAGGGAAUCUUCCGCAAUGGACGAAAGUCUGACGGAGCAACGCCGCGUGAGUGAUGAAGGCUUUCGGGUCGUAAAACUCUGUUGUUAGGGAAGAACAAGUGCUAGUUGAAUAAGCUGGCACCUUGACGGUACCUAACCAGAAAGCCACGGCUAACUACGUGCCAGCAGCCGCGGUAAUACGUAGGUGGCAAGCGUUAUCCGGAAUUAUUGGGCGUAAAGCGCGCGCAGGUGGUUUCUUAAGUCUGAUGUGAAAGCCCACGGCUCAACCGUGGAGGGUCAUUGGAAACUGGGAGACUUGAGUGCAGAAGAGGAAAGUGGAAUUCCAUGUGUAGCGGUGAAAUGCGUAGAGAUAUGGAGGAACACCAGUGGCGAAGGCGACUUUCUGGUCUGUAA